ACCAUAGAAGAAGUUGUUCUAUAGCGCAAUCGCUGGAAAAAAUGACCUCCCCCCAAAAUAGAAUGAAAAGCAGAGAUAAAUCAACCGAGAAAGAGGACAUGGGAUUUGGAGACAAAGUGUUUUGACGACGCGUUGUCAAGGUGGCAUAUAUUUCUACAGGUCGCAGAAACGAGACUGGAAAAAUAUCAGCACAAAUGUGAUGAGUUGGAGGUGCAACAACAAGGACUUCUCCUCUCAGUCUUUUACUGUUGAGAAGGACAGGGGGCUCUAUUUAAAGUGCUCGCUGGCCCAGAAGGAGGAUGAGCUCACAGACCUGUCAGAGCAACUGGGGGGACUGCAGCUCCGUCAACUCCGCCAAGAGUUGCAGGAGAACAAGGACAAGCUCACCUUUGAGAACAUGGUUCUUGCGGGUAAGCCGGAAGCGCCGGAGGAGUCCCGUGUGCAGAAGGAGGAGCUGAUGGCCCGCCUGGAGGAGCAGCUCGGGAAGUAGAGACAGGAGCAUCACACAGUCAACUACAGCCUAGAGAGGAAGGCCAUACUGGACAGCGACAGGUCAAUGCCAUAGAGACACUGAGUGUACAAAACAUUAAGAACACCUGCUCUUUCCAUGACAGACUGACCAGGUGAAUCCAGGUGAAAGUUAUGAUCCCUUAUUGAUGUCAUUUGUUAAAUCCAGGGGAACCCUGCUCUAGACUAAGGGAUGCAGUAGCAAGUGGCAGCUGAGUUCCGGCGCAUGUCGGACAGGAAUAUGCCAGAGACGACCAUAAUGUAUCUGUGACAGCCCAGCUCAGCCGGCUGUCGGACAAGAGCAAGCAGCUGCCAGAGAAGAACAAGGACCUGAAGGAGAGAGAGAAACUGAUCUGCAGAGAGCUGGAGACCCUGGAGCCCCCGUUCAACAAGAUGACCCGCAAGAGCCUCGGCAACCAGAGGGGGGCAGGAGCAGGCCUCAGUGUUGGAGGAGCUGGGCCUAGGCAGACAGGCUGGGAAGAGAGCUGGAGGAGGAGAGGGACGUGAGAGGACCGCUGGAGACCAUCUAACAGGCAGCUGCCUUCACCCUCAAACUUGUCCUCAAGAAAAAUAAGUGAUGGGAAUGAAAAUUAUAGCAGUGUAAGCAUUGCGUUUAUGUAGAUAAUCGUCUAUGGAACCAGAUGAUGCAGAAGCUGUUGACUGUGUUGGACAGUGCUGCUCUGAUGGCAAAAUGGCCUGCCAUGAAGGACUUCAACCCAGAGGGAGACUCCCUCCACAAGUUCAAGAUCGGCCCUGGCCCAGAGAGGCCACCACACACCUGUGUCACUUCAAGACAGGAGUCAUGGGCCUUAAACCGUGUUGUACGCCCAACUACAACCACAUCCUGUCCAAGAUGGGACCCCUCUCCAAGAGCACCUGCCUUCAACUUCAUAGCCUGGAAACCCCCACCGCCCUAGAAGAGGACUAGUCCGUCCAAACCCCUCUGGUCCAGAGUGGCUCCUCUGCUGGGUGACCCUCCCAGAGGGAGUCUGUUUACCCCCCACAGACCCACCCCAAUCAGGGGUAGCCCCGCUGAACCCAUCCUGAGAGAGGCAGGACUGGGCUUCAAACCCCUUUUUUAAUGGGACAUUUUCAACAGAAAAUAAAUAGUGCUACUUGGUUAUGCAAAAAAAAUGUCACUUAUACAUUUUAUUUUUCAGCCACUAGGUGGCAGCAACUAUACUUAGAAUAUGUUCUACUGAGUCUGACAAAGAUCUGCCACUAAACAGUUUUCUAGAGAAAGCAAUCAAAAGUUAUUUUGUUUUGAGUUAUUUAAAGAAUGUAGCCAAAAAAAUAAACAUCAGAAAUGUGUACUCAAAAGAUGAAGACCUACUGUAGCACAGCCAUUGUCCACAUACUAAAUCCAAUAUGUAGUUCAUGAAGUAAUAAACAGCCAGUGCUUGAGAAGAAAAUACUUACUGAACUAUAUACUAGGUUCAAUGGUUGUUGUGGGGACAGAAUGUGGUCUGUUGUACUGAAUAUCUUCACAGCUCCCAAGUGGCGCAGCGGUCUAAGGCACUGCAUCUCAGUGCUAGAGGUGUCACUGCAGACCCUGGUUCGUAUCCAGGCUGUAUUACAACCGGCCAUGAUUGGGAGUCCCUUAGGGCAGUGCAUAAUUGGCCCAGCGUCGUCCGGGUUUGGCUGGUGUAGGCCGUCAUUGUAAAUAAGAAUUUGUUCUUAACUGACUUGCCUAGUUAAAUAAAAUAAACAACUGUAAGUACAUAAAGUGGUAUUUGACAUUGUCAUGGUCUCCAUAAUGCAAAGUCUGAGGAUUUUUUUAAAAGUGACACUACGGGACCCCAGAUGAUGUGAAAUAAUGGUGCUUGUUUUCUGACAAUGUUCACAUCUUUAUCGUAUUAAAGCUUUGUGACUGGAUGCAUGUGAAGAAGGGAUUGUGGAUGGGGGACAUUUCAAUAUUAUCUUUUUGUGAGCCUAUUGCUAACCUUUUGUCACUACUACCCUGUUUUUCACUGUCUUAAUUGAAAGCUAUUUUCUUGAUGCCUUUACCCAUCAAAGCUAGUUGAAAAUAUCUCCCUAAAUGAAUCAGUGUCUGAUUUAUAGGGACAUGUCUUCUCAUAGACUAUCAAAAGAUAUCAGACAGUAACUCCCUUUUAUUGGUGUGAUUUAUCACUUUCCUCUCUGCAGUAAUUCUCAGGUGAAUGUACUUGUCUUCUCAACCCCUGAAAAUAGAUUAUUUAUCUCUUUAAGUGUGCCAAUGAGGUUUUGCGAAUCCACUGUAGAGGUUUCUGUGCUGGAUCCACCCCUUGCCCCGGCUAUUAAAAUGGAUCCUGAAAAGUUAAACAUAUUGGCACAUUGUGCUUCUUGGAGCCGCCUAGGUGCAACUAGAGCUUGAAGGAAAAC
Non-coding RNA from Salmo salar (Atlantic salmon), 2868 nucleotides. Lineage: Eukaryota; Metazoa; Chordata; Actinopteri; Salmoniformes; Salmonidae. The record is from RefSeq and is a predicted model, not a curated record.